This 433-nucleotide ribosomal RNA is filed under the name uncultured bacterium. Its description in RNAcentral is "partial 16S ribosomal RNA". It matches the Rfam family "Bacterial small subunit ribosomal RNA", at positions 29 to 507 of the family's 1533-position model. The record is from RNAcentral.
AACGAACGCUGGCGGCAUGCCUAACACAUGCAAGUCGAACGAUACCUUCGGGUCUAGUUGCGCACGGGUGCGUAACGCGUAGGAACCUGCCCUUAGGUUCUGAAUAACUCCCCGAAAGGGGUGCUAAUACCGGAUGAUGUCUUCGGCCCAAAGAUUUAUCGCCUUUGGAUGGGCCCGCGUUGGAUUAGCUAGUUGGGAGGGUAAAAGCCUACCAAGGCGACGAUCCAUAUCUGGUCUGAGAGGAGGAUAAGCCACACUGGGACUGCGACACGGCCCAGGAUCCUACGGGAGGCAGCCGUGGGGAAUAUUGGACAAUGGGCGAAAGCCUGAUCCAGCAAUGCCGCGGGAGUGAUGAAGGCCUUAGGGUUGUAAAGCUCUUUUACCCGGGAUGAUAAUGACAGUACCGUGAGAAUAAGCUCCGGCUAACUACGUG